This 1129-nucleotide ribosomal RNA is filed under the name uncultured organism. RNAcentral's name for it is "bacterial SSU rRNA". It matches the Rfam family "Bacterial small subunit ribosomal RNA", at positions 230 to 1360 of the family's 1533-position model. The record is from RNAcentral.
CAUAUGUCCCAUUAGCUUGUUGGUGAGGUAACGGCUCACCAAGGCUACGAUGGGUAGGGGGCCUGAGAGGGUGAUCCCCCACACUGGUACUGAGACACGGACCAGACUCCUACGGGAGGCAGCAGUGAGGAAUAUUGGUCAAUGGGCGAAAGCCUGAACCAGCCAUGCCGCGUGCACGAUGACUGUCCUAUGGAUUGUAAACUGCUUUUCUGCAGGAAGAAACGCUUCUACGUGUAGAGGUUGACCGGUACUCCAGGAAUAAGCAUCGGCUAUCCCGGGCCAGCAGCCCCGGUAAUACGGAGGAUGCAAGCAUUAUCCGGAUUCAUUGCGUAUAAAGCGUGCGUAGCCGGAUUGGUAAGUCAAAGGUGAAAGUCUGUAGCUUAACUAUAGAAGUGCCUGUGAUACUGUUAGUCUUGGGUACAGUUGAGGCGAGUGGAAUGUGUAAUGUAGCGAUGACAUGCAUAGAUACUACACAGAACACCAAUUGUGAAGACAGCUCGCUAAGCUGCUACUGACGCUCAGGCACGAAAGCGUGGGGAGCGAACAGGAUUAGAUACCCUGGUAGUCCACGCUGUAAACUAUGAUCACUAGCUGUUGGCGAUAAAUUGUCAGUGGCUGAGCGAAAGCGUUAAGUGAUCCACCUGGGGAGUACGAUCGCAAGGUUGAAACUCAAAGGAAUUGACGGGGGCCCGCACAAGCUGGUGGAACAUGUGGUAUUAAUUCGAUGACACGCGAGGAACCUGACAUGGGCUUAAAUGUAGAACGACGUCCUGAGAAAUCGGGAUUCCCUUCGGGGCGGACUACAAGGUGCUGCAUGGUUGUCGUCAGCUCGUUCCGUGAGGUAUCGGGUUAAGUCCCAUAACGAGCGCAACCCAUAUUGUUAUUUGCCAGCGGAUAAUGCCGGGGACUCUGACGACACUGCCCGUGUAGACGGGAGGAAGGUGGGGAUGACGUCAAAUCAGCACGGCCCUUAUGUCCAGGGCUACACACGUGUUACAAUGGCUGGAACAAAGGGCAGCUACCACGCGAGUGGAUGCUAAUGUUUAAAUCCAGUAUCAGUUCGGAUCGGAGUCUGCAAUUCGACUUCGUGAAGAUGGAAUCGCUAGUAAUCGCGCAUCAGCAAUGGCGC